This 492-nucleotide ribosomal RNA is filed under the name uncultured bacterium. RNAcentral describes it as "partial 16S ribosomal RNA". It matches the Rfam family "Bacterial small subunit ribosomal RNA", at positions 29 to 507 of the family's 1533-position model. The record is from RNAcentral.
AGUGAACGCUGGCGGUAGGCCUAACACAUGCAAGUCGAACGGCAGCACAGUAAGAGCUUGCUCUUACGGGUGGCGAGUGGCGGACGGGUGAGGAAUACAUCGGACUCUACUUUUUCGUGGGGGUUAACGUAGGGAAACUUACGCUAAUACCGCAUACGAUCUACGGGUGAAAGCAGGGGAUCUUCGGACCUUGCGCGAUUGAAUGAGCCGAUGUCGGAUUAGCUAGUUGGCGGGGUAAAGGCCCACCAAGGCGACGAUCCGUAGCUCGUGUGAGAGGAUGAUCAGCCACACUGGAACUGAGACACGGUCCAGACUCCUACGGGAGGCAGCAGUGGGGAAUAUUGGACAAUGGGCGCAAGCCUGAUCCAGCCAUACCGCGUGGGUGAAGAAGGCCUUCGGGUUGGAAAGCCCUUUUGUUGGGAAAGAAAAGCAGCAGGUUAAUACCACGCUGUUCUGACGGUACCCAAAGAAUAAGCACCGGCUAACUUCGUG